ACGCUGGCGGCAGGCCUAACACAUGCAAGUCGAGCGGUAGAGAGAAGCUUGCUUCUCUUGAGAGCGGCGGACGGGUGAGUAAUGCCUAGGAAUCUGCCUGGUAGUGGGGGAUAACGUUCGGAAACGGACGCUAAUACCGCAUACGUCCUACGGGAGAAAGCAGGGGACCUUCGGGCCUUGCGCUAUCAGAUGAGCCUAGGUCGGAUUAGCUAGUUGGUGAGGUAAUGGCUCACCAAGGCGACGAUCCGUAACUGGUCUGAGAGGAUGAUCAGUCACACUGGAACUGAGACACGGUCCAGACUCCUACGGGAGGCAGCAGUGGGGAAUAUUGGACAAUGGGCGAAAGCCUGAUCCAGCCAUGCCGCGUGUGUGAAGAAGGUCUUCGGAUUGUAAAGCACUUUAAGUUGGGAGGAAGGGUUGUAGAUUAAUACUCUGCAAUUUUGACGUUACCGACAGAAUAAGCACCGGCUAACUCUGUGCCAGCAGCCGCGGUAAUACAGAGGGUGCAAGCGUUAAUCGGAAUUACUGGGCGUAAAGCGCGCGUAGGUGGUUAGUUAAGUUGGAUGUGAAAUCCCCGGGCUCAACCUGGGGAACUGCAUUCAAAACUGACUGACUAGAGUAUGGUAGAGGGGUGGUGGAAUUUCCUGUGUAGCGGUGAAAUGCGUAGAUAUAGGAAGGAACACCAGUGGCGAAGGCGACCACCUGGACUGAUACUGACACUGAGGUGCGAAAGCGUGGGGAGCAAAC
Molecule: ribosomal RNA, 747 nt
Filed under: uncultured bacterium
Lineage: Bacteria
Description: bacterial SSU rRNA
Rfam family: Bacterial small subunit ribosomal RNA
Source: RNAcentral